Molecule: ribosomal RNA, 492 nt
Filed under: uncultured bacterium
Lineage: Bacteria
Description: partial 16S ribosomal RNA
Rfam family: Bacterial small subunit ribosomal RNA
Source: RNAcentral
AGUGAACGCUGGCGGUAGGCCUAACACAUGCAAGUCGAACGGCAGCACAGUAAGAGCUUGCUCUUACGGGUGGCGAGUGGCGGACGGGUGAGGAAUACAUCGGAAUCUACUUUUUCGUGGGGGAUAACGUAGGGAAACUUACGCUAACACCGCAUACGACCUACGGGUUAAAGCAGGGGAUCUUCGGACCUUGCGCGAUUGAAUGAGCCGAUGUCGGAUUAGCUAGUUGGCGGGGUAAAGGCCCACCAAGGCGACGAUCCGUAGCUGGUCUGAGAGGAUGAUCAGCCACACUGGAACUGAGACACGGUCCAGACUCCUACGGGAGGCAGCAGUGGGGAAUAUUGGACAAUGGGCGCAAGCCUGAUCCAGCCAUACCGCGUGGGUGAAGAAGGCCUUCGGGUUGUAAAGCCCUUUUGUUGGGAAAGAAAAGCAGCAGGUUAAUACCCCGCUGUUCUGACGGUACCCAAAGAAUAAGCACCGGCUAACUUCGUG